CCCCUGGUGGUGUCGUGGCUAAGACUCUGCACUCCCAAUGCAGGGGGCCUGGGUUUGAUCCCUGGUCAGGGAA
RNAcentral lists this transfer RNA (73 nucleotides) under Bos taurus (domestic cattle). It matches the Rfam family "tRNA". Rfam says of the family: Transfer RNA (tRNA) molecules are approximately 80 nucleotides in length. Their secondary structure includes four short double-helical elements and three loops (D, anti-codon, and T loops). Lineage: Eukaryota; Metazoa; Chordata; Mammalia; Artiodactyla; Bovidae. RNAcentral also lists the same sequence under 4 other names. The record is from Rfam by way of RNAcentral.